CGGCGGAGAAAGCACGUGGUCCUCCUGCAUUUUACUGUGAAUCUGGAAACAAGGGUGGCAAGAUUAGAUCCUUUUGCAUGGUUUCAUUCCUGCAGCAUCCACAGUGUAGAGCAAUCAUUCCUAUGCAGAGGCUGUGAGUGCAGUGCACGACUAGAGAUAGGAUUCAGAGAAGAACAAUUCCUUUUCUCCCAGGAGUAGGGAGGUAGCUGAUUUCUAAACACGUGGUUAAAUGGCUAGGUCCUUGUUACAGAUAUCUGCACACUUGUGAAUCAAUUGCUCGAUUUUAGUGUUGCAGCUGCAUGAUACGCAAUGUAGGGCUGAGUGAGCUCCUGGUGGCUGAGAAUCUGGACCUUAACAUAAGAUUCCUAGAGAGCGACCUCACCUGCUGGAAUUUUAUUACCUUUUAAAGACUACUAUUAAUAAGACUAUAAAGUCUAUUAAAGACUCUCAAUACCCAGGUUUUAUGCAUCUAUUACUGCUUAACACUCAGAAAUGUGGGAAAGUCAUUUUUACAGCUAUGCACACCUCAGGGAAGAAAUUAACCGCUAGCUUCAUUUUAAUCAAUAUGUGUAAGUAGCUCUUUUACUCAAAUCAUAAUAUCCAUCUAAAUAUGCAAACCAAGCAUGGCUUCUAUUUGCAUGGAGUAGUUGUAGGCUCAGGGACUAAUACAGCUUUUAUUCACAAUCGUAUUUAUUUUAUUUUGAAUCAGCUAUUGCCUUAUAUCCCACCACGUUUGGAUUACCUAGACGCAAAUACAUGAGGAUAAUACCAGAAUUGCAAAGUGAAUUCACUGUGGUUAUCUCUCUUGAUAAUGGAUUAAACUAAAGAAUUUUCUAGCCUGUCUUCAUAUUUUAAAAGUAUAAAUUUUAGGAGUGGGAUUCAGCUAUAUUUUAUUUAAGCUGUGAUGAUUUUCAAUCAGUAGUUAAUCUUCCAAUUACCAGAUUUAGUUAAAAUUAUAACCAUCUAAAAGCACAUGUAGUACAAUUAGAGCCAUUUGAGAAUUAUUGCAAAGACAGUAAUAAAUUAUUCUGUGUCCACUUAGAAUGGUGUACAAAAUAAUGGGAUUAAUUUUCAGCAAAUGGGAUUUAGGUUAGGCUUUAGAAAAAGCUUUGUAAUGCUGAAGAUAGUCAAACAGUGAAAAGUCCUCUGGACUCUAUCUCCAGUGACGCCCAGAGCUUAAAUGACCAUUUGUUCUUAGUUGUUUAGGUAUGGCCCAGCCUUCCUUAAGGGAUGGAACCCUACACCUCCAGAAAUUCUUUUCAAGCCAUGCCCAGUUCUUUUGUAUUUUUAUUUUGAAUUGGCAGUACUGUUGCCUUCAGUUUUUUACAGCUGUUUUUUAAAAGAUGUUUUAGAAAGGUUCGUUAUGCUGUUACUUUAUUAAGCCUUUUCUCCAAAUUUAUAUCUCUUUGUGACCAGCAACAGAUUUCUGAGACCAAGGUAUGUGAUGUUUUGGUUUCAUUUAUAUGGAGAUUUUGAGAUUGUUUUGAGAUUUCAGCUUAUCUUUUGGUCAUUUACUUAGCUAAAUGGAAAGAAUAUGAAGAGAUUUUCAAUUCGUUAAGUUUACAUUGUGUUCACUCAGAAUCUUUCUGCUGAUACCAAGAGCUUCGCAGUGAGAGCACUUGGGAGUGACUAAAAUACUUAACGUGUUACUGAUAAAGAAAGGCAUUUGUUUUUCAGAGCAUCACUUUCCAGGUUGCUUAUUGCUUAUAUUCCCCCGGCAGUUUUUUUCACAAUAAUAUAUUGUCCUAUCGCUUCUCUUCUCUUAAAUGGAUAUUACAGUGUUAGAAAUGUGUUAUAGAACAGAAGAAGCAGAGAAAAAAGAAAUGGUUUCUUCUUUGUUAUAUUGUGGUUCUUUGGCAGUUGUCUGAAGGCUUUUCAGGUUUUGCAUUGUGUAAGCUGUUCUGAAGAAAACAGGACUUGGUAAGCUUUCUUUUGUGCAGCUCUGAUAAUGCAUCUAUUCACUGCAGUCACCAAUUUGUGCCAAAAUUGGGAGCAAUAAAAAGCUUCCCUUUCAUAGGACAAUAGGUAAGAGUAGGGUUAUAUUAGUAUGCAAAGUGCUUUCCAUUUAUUCGUUACACACUUUCUGAGAUUUGUGCCUCGAGGGACACUUUUGUGUUCAGGCCGGGAGAAAACUCAGAUACUUAAAAGGUAUGCAAAUUCUUUAUGAAAUAUUCUCAAAACACCAAAUGAUUUCAAAAGUAUCUCGUGGUAUAUUAGAAGCCUGUAACUAUGGGAUUAUACUAUGUCUAUAACAGGAAGUAGUGGAGACUUCAAGUAAGCUUUUAUUUAUUUAUUUAUUUUUAAUUAGAAUUUUAAAUACCUUCUGUAUAAAUAAGCUACUUAUAAUUAAAUCUAGAAUCUCCCAGGGGCUGUAGUUUACCAGCACAUUCAUCUAGACCAUUAUAAACACGCAGAGACAUUCAAAGGCUGAUAGUGACGCAUUUCCAUAUUGCUGGUGCACUACCAAAAUCGGGUUAGAAAAAGAAAUAUGACAAGCUGUUGUAAUUAUAGUUAGAACAUUGCUGGCAAUUUUUAAAAAUAAUGAAUGGAAUCAGAGGCUAAAAAAAACCCAACAUAUAAUAAUCACAGCUGAAUUAGGCUGCAUAAGUCUACUCCAAGGCCUAAAAGAGUUUCAGGUGCUGUGGAACAGACUCUUGCUGUACACAUUUUGGAUUCAGUACAGAGAAGCACAUCUGAACCUGGCCCAUGGCAUCACUUAGCCCACAUUUUUUUGCCUCUUUGCUGUGCUGUAUUUUGGUGCUUUGGUGUCACUGAACCGAAUUGCGCUUAAAUUUUCUUUGAUCCUGAAAGACCCUCAGCUACAAAAAUACCAAAAUACUGUUGUUAGAGGUAUGUUCAUAACGAAUUGGGUAUAAUUGCAUUACUUGAGUGAUAAGAAACAUGACUUUUCAAAGUAGUAUAGAUUGCAUUACAGGAAAUGAUCUGGGAAAGAUCUAUCAAUCUCCUCAUAUAUUUUUAUGCUUUUUUUGUCCUGUGUGAGUACACAAGCAGGACGAAUCAAAAUAUGGAAGACCAGGAGGCCAGCACAGCGUGCUUAAUUGCCUACAUGAAGGGUAACAAGCUUCUCCUCCAGUUUCAUGCUAGCCAGUUGGAAACCACUGAGGAGCGUGAGAGCCCCAACGUCGUCUCAGUGGAUGUUCCAGACAUCUCUAUUCCUGAAAGAUUCUUGGUCUCCAGCAAGAGAUAUUCGCCACCAAUGCUGGACAUCUGUGGUCUCUGAGAACUGCUCAAGUUGACAUGGAAAUCAGAAAGAAGGAAAAUAAAGAAGAGGUGAAGUAAUUUCUUUGAAUUCACAGUAAACCAGCAGACUCCUGGAUCAAAGUCAGGCUAAUAGACCAAGGGCAAAUACAGCUGUGGGGAUUGGCCUCUUCUCCCAGGUAACUAGAGACAGAACAAGAUGUAAUGACUUUAAGCUGACCCAGGGGAGGUUCAGGUUUGAUACUGGGAAAAAUGUCUUCUCAGAAAGGAUGGUGAAGCUUGGAACAGGCUGCCCAGGGAGGUGAUGGAGUCACCAUCCCUGCAGGUGUUCAAGAAAAGGGUAGAUGUCGCACUAAGCGACAUGAUUUAUUGGUAUGGUGGUGGUGGGUUUAUGGCUGAACUAGAUGAUCUGAGUGGUCUUUCCAGCCUUAAUGAUUCUACAAUUCUUCACUCAUCCUUCUUCCUAAAUGCAGAUACUAUGUUUGCUGCUUUUGACUCCUACGUUGUCACUGUUUUAGUAUUGUAUUUAUUAUAUUAUCCCAUUUAUUAUAGAAGCACAAUAGCAGACCCAUUGCUCCCUCAGGCUCUGGUCCUGCCAAAGGACGGAAACAGGAACGUUGUAAUCACUCUGCAGAUGUCUCCCUGUUCCAGAUUCCUCUUUUCAUGUUUACUGUUCGUCUGCUUUGCGAUGACUAAUGAUUAAAAUCUCAGUGUAGAGAGGAUUUCAGUACAAACACAAAGGAGAAUCCGAAGAACUCAGUCAUGUGUCUCAGGUGUGUAUAGUUUAAGGAGGCUUAAGUGCUUUUCUGGACAGGAGCCUAAAGAACCCGUAAGUUAUUAUUCUGUGUCAUUGCUAUCAAUACCUCUCUCUCUGUGUGUCCUGAAUGUGUCUCACAAGUGCUCCUGAGGGCACAGUGAACACCCCAUGAGAUUAGGUAUUUCUUUUCCCUCCUGGUCUUCAGCUUCCCUGUGCAGCCUAUGAACUCAGUGACAGCCUGGACCCAUGUAGUGAAACUGGAAGAGAAAAUAAAGCUGUUUUCAGAGUCAGAUCUCCAGCAGUUGUAAACUGUGUUUAGAUUAGAUCUUAGAGGUGUGCUUUUGUGCUGCGUUGUGUGAAUACACGACUGACAGCCAUACUAGCAAGGUAGAAAGUAAUAAGUGGUGUAGGCUGUGAGUUCUGUGGAUUGGCUCCAGAAGGAAUUUAACCAUACGCACAACUGACUGUGUUCAAGGCGUACCGAGUACACCAGUUUGCAUACUUCAUUACCGACCUGGCUAAUAUGAAGGGAAAAUGGCCAUAAUUUUGACAGAUUAAAAUAAGGAAAACAUUUUUACAGAACCAUCCAUUCAUCUGAAGAUUCACCACUUCCUUUAUGCAUUCAUUGGAAGGUGCAUCACCAUUUUCUUCAUGAUUUAUUUCCUUGAAUCUAGUCUGAUUAAACACUGCAAGAUUUAUUUCUUCAAUAUUAUAUUCCUCAUAGAAUUUUAAUUGUGGAACAGUGGAAAAAAGAGCCAGAGCAGAAUAAAAACAUAUUGAUUUAAUUCAAUUUUUAUACUCACUUCAAGUUAUUUUACCUCUGAGGGUAAGUGUGUUUGGGGAUGGUGAGGGGAAUACAAACUAUAAAUUCUCCCUGAUUGAUCAGUAAUAAAAAUAAAUUAUCUCAUUUACAAAUUUACAAUUAAGCAAGGAAACAGUGAAUGGCCAUAUUAGUUUGACAGUAGGUGCCAUGGGGCACAUAUAAAAGGGAGUAAUGACAGAGCAGCAAAAAACUAAUUUUAGUCAAAGAACAUUCUCCAUUAUCUCCAGAAAAUAUGGCACUUUUUAGCACAUUUUGGAUCCAUCUUCUUGCAAAUGGAGCUUUGAAAUCAAUACGUAUUACCAAGAGAGGACUUUUCUAAGAGUGUACUUGUAACAAGAUCAAGAAAUCAAAGAGUUUGCCCACUGUGAGGUAUUUACAGUAAUAAUUUUUAAUAGAAAAAUAUUUAAUGGUUCAAUUUGAAUUUGUCAUGAAACCUGUCCACACUGGAUUAGUUGCUACUCUAAUGCAUGGUAUAUCAUGCAGAGCAAAUCAUUAACGCAAGACAUUUUGGAAUGUGAAAAAUCUCAUGAGCUCUUCCCUUCCCUCCACCUGCCCACUUUUGUGCAUUUAUUUUUGGCUGGGUUUAAUUUAUUACAUGUAUUCUUGGUAUUUGUGUUACUGAAUUAUUUGGAGUCCUUAGACAUGGCCAGGACUUGGGGCCGGAUGGUGGUAUACAGACCAGAUUAAAAAGCUGUAGUGCAAGAAAAGGAAAAUCUGUACUAUCGAUCAGCUUUGCCAGAUAUACCACCCCAGCAGCCCAGAGGCUUUUUCUCUAGCUUCUCAGCAAAGGAGAGUUUCAAAGAAUCCAACAGAUGUUUGCUCCUGCUGGGCUGAGCUGUGAUGCUGGAGAUUUCAAGAAGAUGCUCCACGGCAAUUGAGUGGCCUUCUCAUUGCAAGGCAAUGCUGGGGAAUGCCUACUCCCAAAGGCAGAUACAAAGUGUAAAAAGAAGUCUUUGGAAAUGAGGCUUAUAUCUGAAGUAAUGGGUAUGAGGUCCUGGCAGGGUCAUGCCUGGAGAGAGGUAGCACACCGAAGCUGACAAGGUAGGGAAACCGUCCAUCCAGGAGGAUAACAGAGAAUAGAAGUGAGUUCAUUCUCUCAUUUUGAUCUGAUAUAAUGCCUUGAAUCUGGGAAAAUAUAUGGCAAAACUUUUCAUAAAAAUUAUUUAUUUAUUAACAUGUGAGAAUAGAUGCAUUUCACAGUUUUAUUUUGUUGUUUCCUGUCUGCUGUUUCUUCAACUCUCAUACCUGUUAAAUGGCAAAAAACAAUACUUAUUUAUGUGUAGAGGCUGUGAGUGUGCGGGUCUGCUAGAGAAUUUGUGGGCAAUCAAUACGACUGAUUUGAUUUUCAGGCAUGCCGAAUAGCACUGGUUCCACACGGCGUUAACAGCACCAGUAAACUGCCAAUGUUAUACGUGGAGUUAAGUGUUCUUGGUUGUUUUUUUUUUUUUUAAUCAGUAUCUGUGGGGAAAAAGAAGGUAACUUGACUUUUAAAAUUUCAAGCUUCACCUCACAUUUGUUAAUCAUAUUACAAUUUCCAGACUCCUCACGUGAGUUGCAAACACAGUAGUCAAGAUGUAGCCUGCAUCCUUGGGAGCACCCUGUGCUCCUGCAUGUCAGUCUUGGGCUGCUGGAGCUUUAUCGCUGCUUUCACAGGUGUCAUGUUUCCAUGCAUAAUUAGUAAGCAAACACUUCAUACAGUGUUGUCAGUGGAUAAUGUUAUUAUAUUGUACAUCAUGCAUUGAAAUCAAAGUGGACCAAGACUAAUUUUUACUAGUAUCUUAGGAGAUUUUGCAGACAUCAGGCAGGCUGAGAGAUAUCUGAACAUUAUUUCUAAGGAAAAGAUGAAAGUGUUUCACAACAUAUUGAUCUGUACCUGAGCAUGAAUGAUUAAUGUGCUUUGGUCCAACUGCAGCUGGAUUUCUUUUGAUAACAGCGAUGGAGCAGGCUAUGAUCUCAUAUCCACUGAUAGAUAGAUCGAUAGAUAUAGAAACCUUCUUGGUUUGGCCUCAUGUCAGAAGAAAUUGUAUAGACUGGAUGUAAAAAGGCCUGGGACAAUUGCACAGCCCAUAUUGUAAAGAUGAAAGCAGCCUGCUCUUUCUGGUACAUCCCUGCUUUGAUCUACACAGCGUGGAAAACCAAGACCUUGCCCAGCAUAAUGCUGCAGGCUCCUGGCAUGUUGCAAGUCUUUGGGAUAGAGAGAGGAAAAGUUAUGUUCAUUCACAGUGAUAGCCUUCAUUUUCACUGUCCCCACACUUUGAAAUGGGAAGUAAACACCUUUUCUCAUGGCUGUGUAUCAUACACACUGGAAUAAACCUGGUGUCUAAUGAGGCAGCUGAGAGCUCAAUGGCAGUAUUGCAAAUAAGGCUUCAGACGCAUCCUGUUUAAAAUGGAUUUUUAAUCUGAGGUGUUUGAGUUUCUCAAGAAAAUGAAAUUAAACUUAUUUCUCACUAUCACCCAUCGGUUUAAGAACAAAAAAAGCCAUGAAUUACUCACAUUUUUCUUCAGGACUUUUGUCAGAUAGAAUGUAUCUACUUAUCUAUGUGUGUCCAUCGCUACUUUUGCCUGGUACAUAAAAUAUUUCUAGGACAUUUCUUGUAAAAAUGCAUAAACUAAUUCACAAGUGCUGGCCUCUAAAGACUGAGCCUGCUUCCAUAGACAAGAAAGAGAUGGAGAAAAACUCAGUCAGAAGUGACGUGCAAAGUGAAGAGACAUUUCUGAGAACUGGCUCUCUCUUUUCUUCCUCAGGAUCCUUGAAUUAGAAAUGUAGAUUUGCUGGGAUUAUAUUCUUUCACAGCUCAGAAAUUAAUGUGCCACAUUUCUUUAGGGCUUGUAGCCACUUCACUGCAGAAUAUUUUCCUUUCUUUAUUGUAUCUGUGACUUGCAGCUGGAAAUCCAGAAUGGAUGAGCCUUACGUGGCCACAACACAAUGCAGUCUGACAAAACACUUAAUAAAUGCCAUGAAGAAGUGAUGGACAGCCUGCUGCUAAACAGCCAUUGCCAGACACCAACAAUACUAUGUGCAUCUGUCUGAUAAUAGGAAACCAUAAUUAUUUUCUUUUCACGCAGCUUGUGAAUAUGGAGCAAAAUCUCUUCCUUUGCGGAGCUGAAGAUGACUGCUUGUACACUGAUGAAUGGCUCUGAUGUUAUUAGCCACAGCUAUUGACUUGCCCGGCCCCCAGAUAACACGAACUGUAAACAUGUCAGGAUUUCAGUGGAUUCCAAUAAUUGCAUGGGAUAAGAUGUCACUCGCUGGCUAUAAACACACUAAUAACACUCCUCAGCAAGUUUUAGUUUUCUUUGCAUAUACAAAUGCACAUUCCCAUUGUAUUCUCAUGUAAAUAAACACAGCGUAUAAGUGGGCUGGCAGCAUUUGGAAAGAUUUCUCGUAGGCUUUGCUCAUCAACUAGAAUGGUUUGCUACUAUUUUAAAAUAAAUUCUGAAAGUUUCUUUGUGGUAAUUUAUGCAAGCUUCCAUAAUAUACUCACUCAAAAUAUGCAUGUUAAGUGCUUUUGUUCAGUGUUUCAUUUUAGAAAAGGAUUUCCUGAGGUUCCACCAAACAAUUUCACUGAGGCCUCACUGAAUUAUUAUUCAAAUAUAUUUACUGGAAAUGAGCAAAACCUUUCUUUUUAUUCUGGUAAUUAAUUCUCCACAGAGACACAAAAUGAUCUUCCUCCAUGUAAAGCCUGCAGGGCUCCACAGGAACAGGAGGGCGACCUGGAGACAACCUUGACACUUGGAUACAUGGGCUGCCAUUGUACUGACAUAUACGGGCCUUACUUUUAUCUAAGUUCCGGAAAUCAAGCCACAAAACCUGAAAUCCACUCUUCCAGGAUAUGGGAGACUGACUUUCAAUCCCCUGUCAUUGAUAAGUAAGACAAGGCUUGGAGUAUGCAAAAGAUCUUCUCUCAUCUUGCAAGCUGUAUCAUGGCUAGUUCACUUUGUUGGUUCUGGAUCUCACGCUGAAGAGUUUAGCUCCUCUUCUGCGCUAUCGAGAGCGCACAGCUACUCGAAACUUUUUUCUAUGCUCAACUCAGAGAACUAAAAACCAGAUGUUGCAAUAGUCAUAAAGUCAACAAGUAAAUCCGCUGGGAACAUAAACCUUAAUGUGAUGAUAGAAAGUCAUUUAUCACUUAGCAAAGGUGGAAAAUAAAGUUUAAAUCUCAA
Molecule: long non-coding RNA, 8963 nt
Organism: Numida meleagris (helmeted guineafowl)
Lineage: Eukaryota; Metazoa; Chordata; Aves; Galliformes; Numididae
Exons: 6
Source: RefSeq, a predicted model, not a curated record